RNAcentral lists this long non-coding RNA (5724 nucleotides) under Amborella trichopoda. Its description in RNAcentral is "long non-coding RNA (ATRI_LNC001713)". The record is from RNAcentral. Lineage: Eukaryota; Viridiplantae; Streptophyta; Magnoliopsida; Amborellales; Amborellaceae.
CCGACCUCUUUUCUGAUCAUCUACUGCUCUCCUCUUUGUUUACUCUCUUCUUCCCCACUCACAAUCUCUCUCCAUCCCCCAAAAUCUCUCCAUCUUCCUUCUCUUUCAUUUUUCUAGGCUCUUCCCCCUCUUAUACUAUGGCAAAGUCCAACUAUCCAGACUAACUUUCUUUCUCACCCUAUAUAGAUCCACACAUUUUGCAAACCAUCUUUCUCUCUCUUACCACAAACCAUUUGUUUCUCAACAAUCACCGCUCAUGGAGGACUGAAGACCCUUUUUGCUGAAAGGCUGCUACAUAGGGCAUUAAAACUUACUUCGCAAGUUGCUCUAGUGGGAGAAAAGAGGAGCUCUUUUUUGGUUAUGGAUGUGAAACCUGGCAACUCCUCAAUGAAGCAUACGAUGAAUGUAGCAAGGUUUGAGCAGAGUAUGCCAUGACUUCUUUUUUUUUUGUGAACGAUAGAGUAUGCCAAGACUUUUCACCUAGGUAUUUGCUUUCUCUCUCUCGAAUUGCUCUCUCUCCUAUUGGAGGGAGGCUUGGGGGUGAAGGAAGUUGGAAUGGGUACUCUCUACUCUUUCUAUCCAAAAAUUUCAGUGGGUACUGUAAAUGGGACAGGCUUUUUUAAUGUUUCCCUCUUUAUAAAUUAACAUUUCUCUCUAAACUAAAUUCUGUAGCAUUAUUUAUACUCUCCCUAAAGGAAAAAAGAUUUAUUAGCUAAUUCUCUAUUUUCGAACCUGUAAUUAGCUACAGUACUCCUCUCUUCCUCUCUCUACUUCUCUUUCUCUCUCUUCUGUUUACAGUAAUGUGACAAGUUUAAGAUAGAGGUGGACAGUCAAACAUGCUCAAAAAUAUGCAUAUUCAGAAUAAUUUAUAGUUCAUAUAUAUGGAAAACUGGUUAUGGCUAUACUCAUAUUUCUAAAAAUAUGAAUAUCCAGAUUUUGUUUUGUCAAACAAAGCCUUAAAGUGUUAAACGAAAAGAAAAGAAUCUUGUUUCCCUUUUUUUUGCACCAUUUUUAUUUAAAUGAGAGAUAGCAGAUAGAGAAGCUCAUUGUGAAGGAAAUGCUAUGGGAUAUGUUACAGGGAGUGCAAACUCUAUGGAAAUGAUAAGCUGGUAAGAAUGUUGGCCAUAGCCCUCCAAAAAUAGUCUUAUCAUGGCAGUUCACUGUAGCGUGGUGUGUGGAUUACCAGUCCAUGCCCAAAAUAAUAUCGAAGUCUAGGGUGUCCAAGAGUAUCAAAUCUAUAGGUAAAAUGCGUCCCUAAGGCACAACCCCACAAUAUUUAUACACUAUCAGUUUCUAUAGAUUCUCUCAUGGGUGUGCAUACUACCAAAGUCCAAUCAAGUUGUGCAGGAUUAGCAUUCAGGUGGCAUGCAAAGUGUGGUGCAACAAAGAAUGGGAAGAUUCGGGAUCAAUUAAACUUCUUGCAUCAAUUCCCCAAACAAAAAACGUACCUCGACUAACAGAGGUCGAUGCCUUAGCCUCUUGUUCCGUCAGAGCAAAAACCCGACCUUAAGUCCUUUGUCGGUCCUCUGGUCCUAUGACUGAACAGUCUUUCACAAGAUGGCAUGGCUUGCCACGUCGAAAAUGGGCACAGAUUACUCAUACCACAAUGAAGGCAGACUGGGCGCCGAUUGCUUCUUACAUCACCUUGAAAAGUCCUCUGAAUCUUGACACUGCCCUAAUCAUUCCUACCCUUAAAUUCUCUUCUUGGAGGUGGUUGGGCUUUCCUCUUAAAAUUCCUUGGCUGCACAGCCCCCAUUCUCCCUUCUUCCUCAAGCGAAAGGUUUCACAAUCUCUUUCUAUUUUUAGGGUAAGAUCCACCAAUGGGGAGAAGGUCUUAAGGUUUGCCGAAAUUAUCCCUCCUCGUAUAUCGAGUCGCAAGCCCCUCUCAAAUUACUUGCUUUUCAUGCCUCAGUAUCGAUAAUAUGCGACACGAAUCUUGAUAGCUCAGCAAACUUUGCCACGUACUGCUCUACGGACAUCCUUCCUUGUUGCAGCUCUAUAAACUCCACUUCUUUUCUUUCCCUCACCGAGUCUAGAAAAUAGUUCUCAUAAAAUGUUUCCAAGAAUUCUCCCAAGUGGCUACAGUUCCUGACCUCUCCCAUGACUACUUUACUGAGCUCCACCAAUGCUCAGCUUCUCCUUCAAGCAUGAAAGUGCCCAGUCUCAUUUUCUGUUCAUCUGUACAGUUUAAGACUUCAAAUAUCUUCUCCACCUGUCUUCUUCAUCUCUCUGCUUUUUCCACUCCCCCAUGCCCCACGAAAGUCGAAGGUGCCAGCCUCUUGAAUCUCUCUAUCAAACCACUGUCACUUUGAUCGGGGGCAGGGGUAGACAGGGCCGACAUCGAUUCCCUCAUCAAUUGUGUCAUGACCCCUAGAGUUCUGUAGAAUUCAUUGAGUGGCUCGGUCUUCUCGUUGUUGGAACUCGCAUUGUUAGCACGAGUCGGCAUCUUUGAGCUAAAAAACAAGCACCCAGUUACUAGCAUAUCAAAGAACUAUCCUAUUCUAAAACUUUCUAGGCCAAGAAUCUUAUCCAGGCUGCUUUGAUACCAUACACUAUCACGACCCUACCCCCUGACCCCAUACCGUACGAGCCGACGAUGACAAAAUACGGGACCGCGACGAGAGGUGACGAACGCCACUCAGGUGAGAGUGGCUCAACGCAUAUAAUAGGGGGAAUCAAGAGCAAACCAUGAUAUAAACUAAAAUCCAUGCAUCAAACAGAUAUUAAUCCAAAAGCAGAAUCAUUUCCAUUAAUAAUCAUUCUCCAAAAUCCUUUUACAAGCAUUUUAAGGCACUAACGGCCCACAAGGUACAAGGUAAACAACAAACAGUGGCGCAGCCACCCAAACACCUACUAUAGCAAGCUCCAGAAAGAUCUCUUCUUCAACUUCAAGCUUUAAGCAGCCCCGAACUGCUGCCCUCUCAAUUGGGCCAGAAACUUUCACUCUAUAAGUGUCAUGACCCCGCCCCCUGACCCCUACCGUCCCAAAUCAGAGGGCGGCAGAGUGCAGGACCUUGACCAGAGGUUGCAAAUGUCACUCAAGUGGGAGUGGCUCAACGUGUGUCAAAAGCAUGGAAUCAAAGCAAGCCACGAGAAUUAAAAUUAAACUUAUACAUCAAGUACUAGAAACUGCACAAAUUAAGACCAUUAAUUAUACAUUCCAUCUCCAAAAUUCUUUACGAUAUUGUUCUAGGCCUACAAGCCUGAUAUUUCAUUACAUCAAACAAAAUACACAUGGCCACGCCACCAAACACCUACUAGGCCAAAAAGAAAUCCUGAACAGGUAUGAACUCCAAGUGCCUGCUAUCACCAAUCUGCUAUUCGCCUCUCGCAGUCAAGCACUAUCACUCUACACAAAGGAAGAAAGAGGAGUGAGAUAUAAGCCCAGUAAGUAGAUCACUACUUUUGUAUUCUACCUACAAUCAUAUAAAUAAUAACAUGGUCUACAGUUCAUCAAAGAUCGUACUGGCAUCAAAAAGUAAAGUCAUGCAUCAUAAUAUGUACACUAACAGUAUAAAAUGAGUAUUGUUCAGAUGUCAGAGCAUCAAAUAUUUCUUUAAAUGACAGUUACAUCGAUGUUUAUAACAGUCUCUGUCAGACCAUCAUAUAGAAUACUUAAUUCAGAUAGGCAGAAACAUAAUUUACUCCCCGAAGUAAAAAUCGCAUCGAUCAAGCUAAGUCAAUUUUAUAACUUGGAACUUCUACCCUCAUUUGGGAGGGAGGACAAUGACAAAUAGAGGUCUCAUUUCGUAAUGUCUUCACUCAUGCACACGAUCCCCACGCGCUUUGGGGUUUUCGAUAGGCUAUGGCCUUGCAAAACACGACCCUCUCCUUAUGCCUUUAGGCGAGAGGGCGUUACAUUACCAUUGGAGGACCCAAUGCGUAGUGCUCAUGACAAUUUGGGGGGCAUGACCCUCGCUGUUAUUCACAGUCACCUCUCGGCUCCACUCCUAUCAUAGAAGUCGAGGUACAGUAUACUCGACUACCAAUGUGGGACCCAUUGCGUAGUGGUCAUAUCACAAAUAUCAGUUUCUAGUAUAGCAGAUUCACAAAUCCGACUACCAAUGGAGGAUCCAUUGCGUAGCGGUCACAUAAUCAGAAAAUCUACUACCAAUACAGGACCAGUUGCGUAGUGUUCAUGGCACAUAUAACAGAAUCAGAAUAUCCGCUAUCAAUGGAGGACCCAUUGCGUAGUGUUCAUGGCACAUAUUACAGAAUUCAAAUAAUAGAAUCAGAAUAUCCAAUACCAAUGGAAGACCCAUUGCGUAGUGUUCAUGACACAUAUAACAAAAUUCAUACGACAGAAUUAGGAUAUCUGCUACCAAUAGAGGGCCCAUUGCAUAGUAUUCAUGGCACAUAUAACAGAACUCAUAUAAUAUAAUCAGAAUAUCCACUACCAAUGGAGGACCUAUUGCGUAAUGUUCAUGGCACAUAUAACAAAAUUCAUAUAACAGAAUCAAAAUAUCCACUACCAAUGGACGACCCAUUGCGUAGUGUUCAUGGCACAUAUAACAGAAUUGUUGCACUGUAUACAUGCAUAUUCGAGCAUUCUUUCGUUUAUGCAUUACUAUUUUCAAGAUUUCAGGGAUACUCAAGUAUCAUGUAUUUUUAGUGAACAUAUCAAGCUAUAUUCAAAGUUUCAGUGCAUGACGUGUACAAAAUUUCAUAGCAGUUUGAAAGUCAUUAUUAUUCACAUCGAAAUGCACAUAUGCAAGAUUAGGCAUAGCACUCCAUUUCAGAGGGAUUUCUCUACAAUUUCAUUAUAGUAGAGUCACAGUCUCCUUAUCAUAGUAUAACAUUUUCUGCAAUUUAUGCCACGGACAUCGGAUCAUAAACGUGGUCAUAAUGUCUGAACCCCUCGGAAUUUGAAAACGGUUCCAAAACAAACUUUUUACUAGACACACGCAUCUUUCAAAUGGAAGUAGUUUAAAACCAUUUGGAUCUCGUUUGGCCCUUCAAAAGCUCAAGAGAAUGCAAUCAUUCUAUCUGAAACCUGUUGUGCAUUAGAAGCAUUGACAUUCCUUCACAAAUAAUUGCAUGACUCCCAAUCUAUGAAGAAUUUCAAAAUGUGUUCAACAUAUGAUUACAAGCACACUCAUGGAUCUUUCAAAUGACAGUGGUUUGGAAGAAAAUGGAGUCCAUUUGCUCAUUCAAAAUUCUUGACAACAGAGACAUCAGUUCUAAGUUUUUUAUGAAAUCUGUCAAUAAUAACCUACUUGCACAUUUUGAAGCGUAGCUCUCCAUUUAUAAAGAAUUGGAGCAAGGUUUAAACAUAAACAUUGACCCAUGUAUCUUUCAAAUGGUGGUGACUUGAACACAUUUGGAUGCCAUUUGAUAGGUCAAAAGUAGAUUACAAAAACAUAGAUUCGUCUUGGAAAUUACAGCACAAUCACAGUAUCACUUAUCAUAAUAAUCAAUUAGCUCUUAACUCAUGCCAAAUCUUGUCAUAAACCUUUCUCAAUUUUCAAUAGAUACAUAAAAACAUAUAAUCACAGACUUUCCAUGAAAAACAAGGAACAUUUGAUACCCAUGUUGGUCAUGCAAAGGCAAGAUGUGUUGAUAGAACUCACAGCAUAACAGUGUACGUAGGCAUCCAUUACUUAUACUACUAAUCAUGCUUAUUAUCAUGCUUGAUUCAUGUUCAAUUCAUGCUUAAGGACCUACAAGGUAGUUGAUCCACUUAUCUUGUGUGUAUAAUGGUGUUCCCAGAUUUCCUCCCAGAAC